CCAGGCUGUCUCCACCCGAGACUCAGUGAAAUUGAACUCGCUGUGAAGAUGCAGUGUACCCGCGGCAAGACGGAAAGACCCCGUGAACCUUUACUAUAGCUUGACACUGAACAUUGAGCCUUGAUGUGUAGGAUAGGUGGGAGGCUUUGAAGUGUGGACGCCAGUCUGCAUGGAGCCGACCUUGAAAUACCACCCUUUAAUGUUUGAUGUUCUAACGUGGACCCGUGAUCCGGGUUGCGGACAGUGUCUGGUGGGUAGUUUGACUGGGGCGGUCUCCUCCUAAAGAGUAACGGAGGAGCACGAAGGUUGGCUAAUCCUGGUCGGACAUCAGGAGGUUAGUGCAAUGGCAUAAGCCAGCUUGACUGCGAGCGUGACGGCGCGAGCAGGUGCGAAAGCAGGUCAUAGUGAUCCGGUGGUUCUGAAUGGAAGGGCCAUCGCUCAACGGAUAAAAGGUACUCCGGGGAUAACAGGCUGAUACCGCCCAAGAGUUCAUAUCGACGGCGGUGUUUGGCACCUCGAUGUCGGCUCAUCACAUCCUGGGGCUGAAGUAGGUCCCAAGGGUAUGGCUGUUCGCCAUUUAAAGUGGUACGCGAGCUGGGUUUAGAACGUCGUGAGACAGUUCGGUCCCUAUCUGCCGUGGGCGCUGGAGAACUGAGGGGGGCUGCUCCUAGUACGAGAGGACCGGAGUGGACGCAUCACUGGUGUUCGGGUUGUCAUGCCAAUGGCACUGCCCGGUAGCUAAAUGCGGAAGAGAUAAGUGCUGAAAGCAUCUAAGCACGAAACUUGCCCCGA
This 792-nucleotide ribosomal RNA is filed under the name Salmonella enterica. RNAcentral describes it as "partial 23S ribosomal RNA". It matches the Rfam family "Bacterial large subunit ribosomal RNA", at positions 2011 to 2802 of the family's 2925-position model. Lineage: Bacteria; Pseudomonadati; Pseudomonadota; Gammaproteobacteria; Enterobacterales; Enterobacteriaceae. The record is from RNAcentral. RNAcentral also lists the same sequence under 1 other name.